Molecule: ribosomal RNA, 394 nt
Filed under: uncultured soil bacterium
Lineage: Bacteria
Description: bacterial SSU rRNA
Rfam family: Bacterial small subunit ribosomal RNA
Source: RNAcentral
AGGAUGAACGCUGGCGGCGUGCUUAACACAUGCAAGUCGAACGAUGAAGGAGGAGCUUGCUCCUCCAGAUUAGUGGCGAACGGGUGAGUAAUACAUGAGCAAUGUGCCCUUGACUCUGGGAUAAGCGCUGGAAACGGCGUCUAAUACCGGAUACGACCCUCGGAGGCAUCUCUGAGGUGGAAAGACUUGGUCAAGGAUGGACUCGCGGCCUAGUCAGCUAGUUGGUGAGGUAACGGCCCACGAAGGCGACGACGGGUAGCCGGCCUGAGAGGGUCGACCGGCCACGCCUGGGACUGGAGACACGGCCCAGACGUCCGACGGGAGGCGAGCAGUGGGAAUAUUGGCACAAGUGGGCGAAAGCCGUGAGUGACAGCAACGCCGCGGUGGAGGGACG